CUGGCCACAGUACAUAGCGGGGUCGCAAAGCCAAGCUGCCUUUUCUUCUUUUUGUGCUAUCAUGUCAACUGCAAGGACUGUAUACCAAAGGAAGGUGUCUCUUCUUCCUCCCAGCAGAGCCCUGCUUCCUCAGAGUGCACCAGGCUCCCUUGCAGCUGACUCGGGAGUUGGGAUGUGGUGAAUGCAGAUCCCACAGCAAGCCUGGGGAUGGUGAAGACAUGGCCGAGCAGAAUUGCCGUGAACCUACGCUAUCAGCCCACAGCUUGCCUUGCUGAGCCCAUGAGCACUGCUUCUAGCCACUUUGGGGAUUCGGAGAACAAGGUGGAAACUUUCUCUUACUACUCAGUUCUCAAGUAACUAGGAUUUAAUACUGCCCUGGAGCAUCACAUCAUCAAGGGGCCACUGAAGUUUUAGCUGUGACUGAAGGUAAACAUGGAAUUGUAUCUUGGCAUGCCAUAGCUUGCCUGUAGGCAGGAAAACUAGGCCUAAUCAUAAUUUAAUUAUGAAAUGAUUUUCCCCCCAGAUUAUGUAAAUUGCUCCUGACACUGAUCAGUGUGUUUAACGAACCCACUCCUACCAUUGCCCUCUGCUUGCCUCUGAUC
RNAcentral lists this long non-coding RNA (602 nucleotides) under Fukomys damarensis (Damara mole-rat). RNAcentral's name for it is "lncRNA (ENSFDAG00000033120.1)". The record is from RNAcentral. Lineage: Eukaryota; Metazoa; Chordata; Mammalia; Rodentia; Bathyergidae.